GCUUGAAGUGGUUGUAACUUACGCGCAAGCCGGUAGAAUGGCGCGGCCUACCCGAGGGUAGGCUGCAAUGGUGGCCCUGUCGGUCCCCCCGCAACGAUUACCCGUCAACCUGGUCAGGUCCGGAAGGAAGCAGCCACAGCGGGAACAUCGUGUGCCGGGGUGUGGCUGGCGGGGCCGCCUCCAUUUCAGGCCCGCCAUUUUUCGCAGGC
This 209-nucleotide small RNA is filed under the name Pseudomonas aeruginosa. Its description in RNAcentral is "Bacterial large signal recognition particle RNA". The stretch from base 78 to 174 matches the Rfam family "Bacterial small signal recognition particle RNA". The record is from RNAcentral. Lineage: Bacteria; Pseudomonadati; Pseudomonadota; Gammaproteobacteria; Pseudomonadales; Pseudomonadaceae.